GAUGAACGCUGGCGGCGUGCCUAAUACAUGCAAGUCGAGCGAAUGGAUUAAGAGCUUGCACUUAUGAAGUUAGCGGCGGACGGGUGAGUAACACGUGGGUAACCUGCCCAUAAGACUGGGAUAACUCCGGGAAACCGGGGCUAAUGCCGGAUAACAUUUUGAACCGCAUGGUUCGAAAUUGAAAGGCGGCUUCGGCUGUCACUUAUGGAUGGACCCGCGUCGCAUUAGCUAGUUGGUGAGGUAACGGCUCACCAAGGCAACGAUGCGUAGCCGACCUGAGAGGGUGAUCGGCCACACUGGGACUGAGACACGGCCCAGACUCCUACGGGAGGCAGCAGUAGGGAAUCUUCCGCAAUGGACGAAAGUCUGACGGAGCAACGCCGCGUGAGUGAUGAAGGCUUUCGGGUCGUAAAACUCUGUUGUUAGGGAAGAACAAGUGCUAGUUGAAUAAGCUGGCACCUUGACGGUACCUAACCAGAAAGCCACGGCUAACUACGUGCCAGCAGCCGCAGUAA
Molecule: ribosomal RNA, 515 nt
Filed under: uncultured bacterium
Lineage: Bacteria
Description: partial 16S ribosomal RNA
Rfam family: Bacterial small subunit ribosomal RNA
Source: RNAcentral